This is a non-coding RNA of Acanthosepion pharaonis, 86 nucleotides long. Lineage: Eukaryota; Metazoa; Mollusca; Cephalopoda; Sepiida; Sepiidae. The record is from the annotation of a GenBank genome assembly.
UUAAACAUUGGUUCCCGUACGAUCACCGAAGUUAAGCAAUGUCGAUCCUGUUCAGUACCUAGAUGGGUGACCGCUUAGGAAUACUA